AGAGUUUGAUCCUGGCUCAGAGCGAACGCUGGCGGAAUGCUUAACACAUGCAAGUCGCACGGGGGCUUCGGCCUUAGUGGCGGACGGGUGAGUAACGCGUAGGAAUGUGUCCGAGGAUGGGGGAUAACGUUGGGAAACUGACGCUAAUACCGCAUAUCUCCUGAGGGAGAAAGCCGCGAGGCGUCCACGGAGCAGCCUGCGUACGAUUAGCUUGUUGGUGGGGUAAAGGCUUACCAAGGCGACGAUCGUUAGCUGGUCUGAGAGGAUGAUCAGCCACACUGGAACUGAGACACGGUCCAGACUCCUACGGGAGGCAGCAGUGGGGAAUAUUGGACAAUGGGCGCAAGCCUGAUCCAGCAAUUCCGCGUGGGUGAAGAAGGUCUUCGGAUUGUAAAGCCCUUUCGUUGGGGACGAUGAUGACGGUACCCAAAGAAGAAGCCCCGGCUAACUUCGUGCCAGCAGCCGCGGUAAUACGAAGGGGGCUAGCGUUGCUCGGAAUGACUGGGCGUAAAGGGCGCGUAGGCGGCAUAACUCGUCAGACGUGAAAUUCCUGGG
This 555-nucleotide ribosomal RNA is filed under the name uncultured freshwater bacterium. RNAcentral describes it as "bacterial SSU rRNA". It matches the Rfam family "Bacterial small subunit ribosomal RNA", at positions 8 to 607 of the family's 1533-position model. The record is from RNAcentral.